ACGAACGCUGGCGGCAGGCUUAACACAUGCAAGUCGAACGGAUCCUUCGGGAUUAGUGGCAGACGGGUGAGUAACGCGUGGGAACGUACCCUUUGCUACGGAAUAACUCAGGGAAACUUGAGCUAAUACCGUAUGUGCCCUACGGGGGAAAGAUUUAUCGGCAAAGGAUCGGCCCGCGUUGGAUUAGCUAGUUGGUGGGGUAAUGGCCUACCAAGGCGACGAUCCAUAGCUGGUCUGAGAGGAUGAUCAGCCACACUGGGACUGAGACACGGCCCAGACUCCUACGGGAAGCAGCAGUGGGGAAUAUUGGACAAUGGGCGCAAGCCUGAUCCAGCCAUGCCGCGUGAGUGAUGAAGGUCUUAGGAUUGUAAAGCUCUUUCACCGGUGAAGAUAAUGACGGUAGCCGGAGAAGAAGCCCCGGCUAACUUCGUG
RNAcentral lists this ribosomal RNA (432 nucleotides) under uncultured bacterium. RNAcentral's name for it is "partial 16S ribosomal RNA". It matches the Rfam family "Bacterial small subunit ribosomal RNA", at positions 29 to 507 of the family's 1533-position model. The record is from RNAcentral.